This 484-nucleotide ribosomal RNA is filed under the name uncultured bacterium. RNAcentral's name for it is "partial 16S ribosomal RNA". It matches the Rfam family "Bacterial small subunit ribosomal RNA", at positions 30 to 507 of the family's 1533-position model. The record is from RNAcentral.
AUUGAACGCUGGCGGCAGGCCUAACACAUGCAAGUCGAGCGGAUGAAGGGAGCUUGCUCCUGUAUUCAGCGGCGGACGGGUGAGUAAUGCCUAGGAAUCUGCCUGGUAGUGGGGGAUAACGUCCGGAAACGGGCGCUAAUACCGCAUACGUCCUGAGGGAGAAAGUGGGGGAUCUUCGGACCUCACGCUAUCAGAUGAGCCUAGGUCGGAUUAGCUAGUUGGUGGGGUAAAGGCCUACCAAGGCGACGAUCCGUAACUGGUCUGAGAGGAUGAUCAGUCACACUGGAACUGAGACACGGUCCAGACUCCUACGGGAGGCAGCAGUGGGGAAUAUUGGACAAUGGGCGAAAGCCUGAUCCAGCCAUGCCGCGUGUGUGAAGAAGGUCUUCGGAUUGUAAAGCACUUUAAGUUGGGAGGAAGGGCAGUAAGUUAAUACCUUGCUGUUUUGACGUUACCAAAAGAAUAAGCCCCGGCUAACUUCGUG